CAGCCGCCGCGGUAAUACGUAGGUGGCGAGCGUUGUCCGGAAUUAUUGGGCGUAAAGGGCUCGCAGGCGGUUUCUUAAGUCUGAUGUGAAAGCCCCCGGCUCAACCGGGGAGGGUCAUUGGAAACUGGGAAACUUGAGUGCAGAAGAGGAGAGUGGAAUUCCACGUGUAGCGGUGAAAUGCGUAGAGAUGUGGAGGAACACCAGUGGCGAAGGCGACUCUCUGGUCUGUAACUGACGCUGAGGAGCGAAAGCGUGGGGAGCGAACAGGAUUAGAUACCCCAGUAGUCCCUGUCUCUUAUAC
This 301-nucleotide ribosomal RNA is filed under the name uncultured bacterium. RNAcentral describes it as "partial 16S ribosomal RNA". It matches the Rfam family "Bacterial small subunit ribosomal RNA", at positions 509 to 807 of the family's 1533-position model. The record is from RNAcentral.